GUUGGGGGGCAGCCUACACAUGCAGUCGAACGGUAACUUUUGGUGCUUGCACCGAAAGACGAGUGGCGAACGGGUGCGUAACGCGUAUGCAAUCUGCCUUUUACUAGGGUAUAGCCCAGAGAAAUUUGGAUUAAUCCCCUAUAAUAUCAUUUUUUCGCAUGAUUAAAUGAUUAAAGCUUCGGCGGUAAAAGAUGAGCAUGCGUCCUAUUAGUUUGUAGGUGAGGUAACGGCUCACCUAGACUACGAUAGGUAGGGGCCCUGAGAGGGGGACCCCCCACACUGGUACUGAGACACGGACCAGACUCCUACGGGAGGCAGCAGUGAGGAAUAUUGGACAAUGGACGAAAGUCUGAUCCAGCUAUGCCGCGUGCAGGAUGACGGCCCUACGGGUUGUAAACUGCUUUUAUACAGGAAGAAACACCCCGACGUGUCGGGGCUUGACGGUACUGUAAGAAUAAGGAUCGGCUAACUCCGUGCCAGCAGCCGCGGUAAUACGGAGGAUUCGAGCGUUAUCCGGAAUCAUUGGGUUUAAAGGGUCCGCAGGCGGUUUUUUAAGUCAGAGGUGAAAUCCUGCAGCUCAACUGUAGAAUUGCCUUUGAUACUGAAAGACUUGAGUUAUUGUGAAGUGGUUAGAAUGUGUGGUGUAGCGGUGAAAUGCAUAGAUAUCACACAGAAUACCGAUUGCGAAGGCAGAUCACUAACAAUAUACUGACGCUCAGGGACGAAAGCGUGGGUAGCGAACAGGAUUAGAUACCCUGGUAGUCCACGCCGUAAACGAUGGAUACUAGCUGUAUGUCUACCUCAG
Molecule: ribosomal RNA, 805 nt
Filed under: uncultured bacterium
Lineage: Bacteria
Description: bacterial SSU rRNA
Rfam family: Bacterial small subunit ribosomal RNA
Source: RNAcentral